GUGGGGAAUUUUGGACAAUGGGGGCAACCCUGAUCCAGCCAUUCCGCGUGAGUGAAGAAGGCCUUCGGGUUGUAAAGCUCUUUCGGCAGGAACGAAACGGUGAGCUCUAACAUAGCUCGCUAAUGACGGUACCUGAAGAAGAAGCACCGGCUAACUACGUGCCAGCAGCCGCGGUAAUACGUAGGGUGCGAGCGUUAAUCGGAAUUACUGGGCGUAAAGCGUGCGCAGGCGGUUGUGUAAGACAGGUGUGAAAUCCCCGGGCUUAACCUGGGAACUGCGCUUGUGACUGCACGGCUAGAGUAUGGCAGAGGGGGGUGGAAUUCCACGUGUAGCAGUGAAAUGCGUAGAGAUGUGGAGGAACACCGAUGGCGAAGGCAGCCCCCUGGGCCAAUACUGACGCUCAUGCACGAAAGCGUGGGGAGCAAACAGGAUUAGAUACCCUAGUAGUCC
RNAcentral lists this ribosomal RNA (450 nucleotides) under uncultured bacterium. RNAcentral's name for it is "partial 16S ribosomal RNA". It matches the Rfam family "Bacterial small subunit ribosomal RNA", at positions 354 to 796 of the family's 1533-position model. The record is from RNAcentral.